This 337-nucleotide unclassified non-coding RNA is filed under the name Hevea brasiliensis (rubber tree). The record is from RNAcentral. Lineage: Eukaryota; Viridiplantae; Streptophyta; Magnoliopsida; Malpighiales; Euphorbiaceae.
GAGGAAGACCCAAUCUUUUGAUGGCCCUCAUGAUCAAUAAUGUUAUUUCAGAUAAAAGCAAGCAAAUCUAACUGUAAUCUGAAAUAUUGCAUCCUAGUAGAGGGAAAUAUGUAAAGUUCCAAAUCCGACUUAUUGACUAUUAUCUGCAGAUGAUCAUGAAAAUUAGAGGAGGGGAUGAAGUGUAUGUUGUAAUAACAAAAUGCCUCUGAAAUAUAUAGAACUUGACAUAGCUGUUAAAUGAGUAGAUGCAAGAAAAGCUGCUCGUUGAAUGUGUAAGUUAUUAGUGGUGCCUCUUUGGCUCUUUCUAGCAUUAGCAACUAUCUAACUUUUUAAAAAA